CCAGCACCUGCGGUAAUUCCAGCUCCAAUAGCGUAUAUUAAAGUUGUUGCAGUUAAAAAGCUCGUAGUUGGAUUUGUGGUGUUCCCUGAGGUCCUAUUUGGGUACUUUUGGGGAGCUCCAUCCUUGGGUGGAUCCUGUGUGGCAUUAGGUUGUCGUGCAGGGGAUGCCCAUCGUUUACUGUGAAAAAAUUAGAGUGUUCAAAGCAGGCUUACGCCGUUGAAUAUAUUAGCAUGGAAUAAUGAGAUAGGACCUUGGUACUAUUUUGUUGGUUUGCGCACCGAGGUAAUGAUUAAUAGGGACAGUUGUGGGUAUUCGUAUUCCAUUGUCAGAGGUGAAAUUCUUGGAUUUCUGGAAGACGAACUAAUGCGAAAGCAUUUACCAAGGAUGUUUUCAUUAAUCAAGAACGAAAGU
Molecule: ribosomal RNA, 411 nt
Filed under: uncultured Halamphora
Lineage: Eukaryota; Bacillariophyta; Bacillariophyceae; Naviculales
Description: SSU rRNA
Rfam family: Eukaryotic small subunit ribosomal RNA
Source: RNAcentral